This 253-nucleotide ribosomal RNA is filed under the name uncultured bacterium. RNAcentral's name for it is "partial 16S ribosomal RNA". It matches the Rfam family "Bacterial small subunit ribosomal RNA", at positions 524 to 776 of the family's 1533-position model. The record is from RNAcentral.
UACGUAGGUGGCAAGCGUUAUCCGGAUUUAUUGGGCGUAAAGGGAACGCAGGCGGUCUUUUAAGUCUGAUGUGAAAGCCUUCGGCUUAACCGGAGUAGUGCAUUGGAAACUGGGAGACUUGAGUGCAGAAGAGGAGAGUGGAACUCCAUGUGUAGCGGUGGAAUGCGUAGAUAUAUGGAAGAACACCAGUGGCGAAGGCGGCUCUCUGGUCUGCAACUGACGCUGAGGCUCGAAAGCAUGGGUAGCGAACAGG